RNAcentral lists this ribosomal RNA (2393 nucleotides) under Escherichia coli. RNAcentral's name for it is "partial 23S ribosomal RNA". It matches the Rfam family "Bacterial large subunit ribosomal RNA", at positions 419 to 2797 of the family's 2925-position model. The record is from RNAcentral. Lineage: Bacteria; Pseudomonadati; Pseudomonadota; Gammaproteobacteria; Enterobacterales; Enterobacteriaceae.
GGGACACGUGGUAUCCUGUCUGAAUAUGGGGGGACCAUCCUCCAAGGCUAAAUACUCCUGACUGACCGAUAGUGAACCAGUACCGUGAGGGAAAGGCGAAAAGAACCCCGGCGAGGGGAGUGAAAAAGAACCUGAAACCGUGUACGUACAAGCAGUGGGAGCCUCUUAAUGGGGUGACUGCGUACCUUUUGUAUAAUGGGUCAGCGACUUAUAUUCUGUAGCAAGGUUAACCGAAUAGGGGAGCCGAAGGGAAACCGAGUCUUAACUGGGCGUUAAGUUGCAGGGUAUAGACCCGAAACCCGGUGAUCUAGCCAUGGGCAGGUUGAAGGUUGGGUAACACUAACUGGAGGACCGAACCGACUAAUGUUGAAAAAUUAGCGGAUGACUUGUGGCUGGGGGUGAAAGGCCAAUCAAACCGGGAGAUAGCUGGUUCUCCCCGAAAGCUAUUUAGGUAGCGCCUCGUGAAUUCAUCUCCGGGGGUAGAGCACUGUUUCGGCAAGGGGGUCAUCCCGACUUACCAACCCGAUGCAAACUGCGAAUACCGGAGAAUGUUAUCACGGGAGACACACGGCGGGUGCUAACGUCCGUCGUGAAGAGGGAAACAACCCAGACCGCCAGCUAAGGUCCCAAAGUCAUGGUUAAGUGGGAAACGAUGUGGGAAGGCCCAGACAGCCAGGAUGUUGGCUUAGAAGCAGCCAUCAUUUAAAGAAAGCGUAAUAGCUCACUGGUCGAGUCGGCCUGCGCGGAAGAUGUAACGGGGCUAAACCAUGCACCGAAGCUGCGGCAGCGACACUAUGUGUUGUUGGGUAGGGGAGCGUUCUGUAAGCCUGUGAAGGUGUACUGUGAGGUAUGCUGGAGGUAUCAGAAGUGCGAAUGCUGACAUAAGUAACGAUAAAGCGGGUGAAAAGCCCGCUCGCCGGAAGACCAAGGGUUCCUGUCCAACGUUAAUCGGGGCAGGGUGAGUCGACCCCUAAGGCGAGGCCGAAAGGCGUAGUCGAUGGGAAACAGGUUAAUAUUCCUGUACUUGGUGUUACUGCGAAGGGGGGACGGAGAAGGCUAUGUUGGCCGGGCGACGGUUGUCCCGGUUUAAGCGUGUAGGCUGGUUUUCCAGGCAAAUCCGGAAAACCAAGGCUGAGGCGUGAUGACGAGGCACUACGGUGCUGAAGCAACAAAUGCCCUGCUUCCAGGAAAAGCCUCUAAGCAUCAGGUAACAUCAAAUCGUACCCCAAACCGACACAGGUGGUCAGGUAGAGAAUACCAAGGCGCUUGAGAGAACUCGGGUGAAGGAACUAGGCAAAAUGGUGCCGUAACUUCGGGAGAAGGCACGCUGAUAUGUAGGUGAAGCGACUUGCUCGUGGAGCUGAAAUCAGUCGAAGAUACCAGCUGGCUGCAACUGUUUAUUAAAAACACAGCACUGUGCAAACACGAAAGUGGACGUAUACGGUGUGACGCCUGCCCGGUGCCGGAAGGUUAAUUGAUGGGGUUAGCGGUAACGCGAAGCUCUUGAUCGAAGCCCCGGUAAACGGCGGCCGUAACUAUAACGGUCCUAAGGUAGCGAAAUUCCUUGUCGGGUAAGUUCCGACCUGCACGAAUGGCGUAAUGAUGGCCAGGCUGUCUCCACCCGAGACUCAGUGAAAUUGAACUCGCUGUGAAGAUGCAGUGUACCCGCGGCAAGACGGAAAGACCCCGUGAACCUUUACUAUAGCUUGACACUGAACAUUGAGCCUUGAUGUGUAGGAUAGGUGGGAGGCUUUGAAGUGUGGACGCCAGUCUGCAUGGAGCCGACCUUGAAAUACCACCCUUUAAUGUUUGAUGUUCUAACGUUGGCCCCUAAUCGGGGUUGCGGACAGUGUCUGGUGGGUAGUUUGACUGGGGCGGUCUCCUCCUAAAGAGUAACGGAGGAGCACGAAGGUUGGCUAAUCCUGGUCGGACAUCAGGAGGUUAGUGCAAUGGCAUAAGCCAGCUUGACUGCGAGCGUGACGGCGCGAGCAGGUGCGAAAGCAGGUCAUAGUGAUCCGGUGGUUCUGAAUGGAAGGGCCAUCGCUCAACGGAUAAAAGGUACUCCGGGGAUAACAGGCUGAUACCGCCCAAGAGUUCAUAUCGACGGCGGUGUUUGGCACCUCGAUGUCGGCUCAUCACAUCCUGGGGCUGAAGUAGGUCCCAAGGGUAUGGCUGUUCGCCAUUUAAAGUGGUACGCGAGCUGGGUUUAGAACGUCGUGAGACAGUUCGGUCCCUAUCUGCCGUGGGCGCUGGAGAACUGAGGGGGGCUGCUCCUAGUACGAGAGGACCGGAGUGGACGCAUCACUGGUGUUCGGGUUGUCAUGCCAAUGGCACUGCCCGGUAGCUAAAUGCGGAAGAGAUAAGUGCUGAAAGCAUCUAAGCACGAAACUUGC